RNAcentral lists this transfer RNA (84 nucleotides) under Erysipelotrichaceae bacterium. Its description in RNAcentral is "tRNA-Tyr". It matches the Rfam family "tRNA". Rfam says of the family: Transfer RNA (tRNA) molecules are approximately 80 nucleotides in length. Their secondary structure includes four short double-helical elements and three loops (D, anti-codon, and T loops). Further hydrogen bonds mediate the characteristic L-shaped molecular structure. tRNAs have two regions of fundamental functional importance: the anti-codon, which is responsible for specific mRNA codon recognition, and the 3' end, to which the tRNAs corresponding amino acid is attached (by aminoacyl-tRNA synthetases). tRNAs cope with the degeneracy of the genetic code in two manners: having more than one tRNA (with a specific anti-codon) for a particular amino acid; and 'wobble' base-pairing, i.e. permitting non-standard base-pairing at the 3rd anti-codon position. Lineage: Bacteria; Bacillati; Bacillota; Erysipelotrichia; Erysipelotrichales; Erysipelotrichaceae. The record is from RNAcentral.
GGAGAGAUAGCGAAGUGGCUAAACGCGGCUGACUGUAACUCAGUUCCUUUUGGUUCGGUGGUUCGAAUCCACCUCUCUCCACCA